This 1021-nucleotide unclassified non-coding RNA is filed under the name Hevea brasiliensis (rubber tree). Lineage: Eukaryota; Viridiplantae; Streptophyta; Magnoliopsida; Malpighiales; Euphorbiaceae. The record is from RNAcentral.
GAGGAGCCCAUCAAGACUACAAUCAUUUGGAUGAGCUGAAAAAAUUCGAUGAUUCUAAAAUGGGUGUUAAGGGCUUGGUUGACUCUGGUCUCACCUCCAUCCCCCGCAUGUUCGUCCACCCAACCGAAACACUUUCCGAUCUCAAAUCCGUUGCAAGAUCCGCAUCACAAGUCAUCCCCACCAUUGACCUUUCAGGCGUUGAUUCUGACAGGAGGCCGGCAAUCGUGGAGCAGGUUUCGGAUGCCUGUCGGAAGCUUGGGUUUUUUCAGAUCGUGAAUCAUGGGUUGCCGUUGGAAGUUUUGAACCGGACGAUUGCUGCAGUUAAGGCGUUUCAUGAGCUGCCGACGGAGGUUAAGAAUCAGUGGUAUCGGAGAGAGACAAGUACCGGAGUAGCCUUCUUUUCCAACGUUGACAUGUAUAAAGCUAAAGCUGCGAGCUGGAGGGAUACACUUCAGGUGAGGUUGGGUCCCGUCCCAUCAGUGGUUGACGACAUCCCUGAGAUAUGCAGGAAUGAGAUACUUGAGUGGAGUCGACAAGCUUCACAGCUUGUAGAGAUCUUGAUGGAGUUGCUCUGUGAAGGGCUGGGAUUGAAUGCUGGAAAGUUGAAGGAGAUGACAUUUUUGGAAUCCAAGGGACUCGUGGGUCACUACUAUCCACACUGCCCUCAGCCUGAUCUCACCUUUGGAAUUACAUCGCAUACAGAUCCUGGGGUUUUGACACUACUGCUUCAGGACCAAAUUGGAGGCUUGCAGGUUAAGCAUGGUGAGGAAUGGGUUGAAGUUAAACCUAUCCCUGGAGCUCUCGUUAUUAACAUUGGAGAUAUUCUUCAGAUUCUGUCCAAUGAUGAAUACAAAAGUGUAGAUCAUAGAGUGUUGGCUAAUCCUUCACCCGAUCCACGAGUUUCCAUAGCUAUUUUCUUCACUGCUGGUAAGAGAGACGGCUUGUACGGACCCUUUCCAGAGCUAGUGUCACCCGAAAAACCAGCUCUUUACCGGCAGUUUAUGCUCAAUGAUUACAUGAG